Molecule: ribosomal RNA, 497 nt
Filed under: uncultured bacterium
Lineage: Bacteria
Description: partial 16S ribosomal RNA
Rfam family: Bacterial small subunit ribosomal RNA
Source: RNAcentral
GAUGAACGCUGGCGGCGUGCCUAAUACAUGCAAGUCGAGCGAACGGACGAGAAGCUUGCUUCUCUGAUGUUAGCGGCGGACGGGUGAGUAACACGUGGAUAACCUACCUAUAAGACUGGGAUAACUUCGGGAAACCGGAGCUAAUACCGGAUGAUAUUUUGAGCCGCAUGGUUCAAAAGUGAAAGACGGUCUUGCUGUCACUUAUAGAUGGAUCCGCGCUGCAUUAGCUAGUUGGUAAGGUAACGGCUUACCAAGGCAACGAUGCAUAGCCGACCUGAGAGGGUGAUCGGCCACACUGGAACUGAGACACGGUCCAGACUCCUACGGGAGGCAGCAGUAGGGAAUCUUCCGCAAUGGGCGAAAGCCUGACGUAGCAACGCCGCGUGAGUGAUGAAGGUCUUCGGAUCGUAAAACUCUGUUAUUAGGGAAGAACAUAUGUGUAAGUAACUGUGCACAUCUUGACGGUACCUAAUCAGAAAGCCACGGCUAACUACGUG